AGGACGAACGCUGGCGGCGUGCUUAACACAUGCAAGUCGAGCGGUAAGGCCUUUCGGGGUACACGAGCGGCGAACGGGUGAGUAACACGUGGGUGAUCUGCCCUGCACUCUGGGAUAAGCCUGGGAAACUGGGUCUAAUACCGGAUAUGACCUGCUCUCGCAGUGGGGGUGGGUGGAAAGAUUUAUCGGUGCAGGGAUGGGCCCGCGGCCUAUCAGCUUGGUUGGUGGGUAAUGGCCUACCAAGGCGACGACGGGUAGCCGACCUGAGAGGGUGACCGGCCACACUGGGACUGAGACACGGCCCAGACUCCUACGGGAGGCAGCAGGUGGGAAUAUUGCACAAGUGGGACGAAAGCCUGAUGCAGCGACGCGCGUGAGGAUGGAAGGCCGUUCGGGUUGUAAACCUC
Molecule: ribosomal RNA, 407 nt
Filed under: uncultured soil bacterium
Lineage: Bacteria
Description: bacterial SSU rRNA
Rfam family: Bacterial small subunit ribosomal RNA
Source: RNAcentral